UUACGGACAGUGCCUGGUGGGUAGUUUGACUGGGGCGGUCUCCUCCCAAAGAGUAACGGAGGAGCACGAAGGUGGGCUAAUCACGGUCGGACAUCGUGAGGUUAGUGCAAUGGCAUAAGCCCGCUUGACUGCGAGAAUGACAAUUCGAGCAGGUGCGAAAGCAGGUCAUAGUGAUCCGGUGGUUCUGAAUGGAAGGGCCAUCGCUCAACGGAUAAAAGGUACUCCGGGGAUAACAGGCUGAUACCGCCCAAGAGUUCAUAUCGACGGCGGUGUUUGGCACCUCGAUGUCGGCUCAUCACAUCCUGGGGCUGAAGUCGGUCCCAAGGGUAUGGCUGUUCGCCAUUUAAAGUGGUACGCGAGCUGGGUUUAGAACGUCGUGAGACAGUUCGGUCCCUAUCUGCCGUGGGCGUUGGAUGAUUGAGAGGGGCUGCUCCUAGUACGAGAGGACCGGAGUGGACGAACCGCUGGUGUUCGGGUUGUAUCGCCAGAUGCAUUGCCCGGUAGCUAAGUUCGGAAUCGAUAACCGCUGAAAGCAUCUAAGCGGGAAGCGAGCCUCAAGAUGAGUCAUCCCUAGACCUUUAAGGUCUCUAAAGGGUUGUUGAAGACUACAACGUUGAUAGGUCAGGUGUGUAAGUGCUGCGAGGCAUUGAGCUAACUGAUACUAAUUGCCCGUGAGGCUUAACCAUACAACACCCAAGGGGUUU
This 704-nucleotide ribosomal RNA is filed under the name Photobacterium kishitanii. RNAcentral describes it as "bacterial LSU rRNA". It matches the Rfam family "Bacterial large subunit ribosomal RNA", at positions 2245 to 2925 of the family's 2925-position model. Lineage: Bacteria; Pseudomonadati; Pseudomonadota; Gammaproteobacteria; Vibrionales; Vibrionaceae. The record is from RNAcentral.